This 796-nucleotide long non-coding RNA is filed under the name Ursus maritimus (polar bear). RNAcentral's name for it is "lncRNA (ENSUMAG00000021335.1)". Lineage: Eukaryota; Metazoa; Chordata; Mammalia; Carnivora; Ursidae. The record is from RNAcentral.
GUGGGAGACGCAGGAAGGUGGGUUUGGGGACCCCACCCCAGGACCACCCGACUCCCCCUCCCCCCAGGAGAAAUGCGUAAACUGCUCCCGAAGAUUCCGCUGCACUCAAGGUUUCCAGCUGGAGAACACCCCCAAGAAGAGCUGUGUCUACCGAUCUGGCUACUCCUUCUCCCGGGGCUGUUCUUACACAUGUGCCAAGAGGAUCCAGGUGCCUGACUGCUGCCCCGGCUUCUUCGGCACACUGUGCGAGCCGUGCCCGGGGGGUCAGGGCGGCGUGUGCUCGGGCCACGGGCAGUGCCAGGACAGGCUCCUGGGCAGCGGGGAUUGCCGCUGUCACGAGGGCUUCCAUGGAACUGCCUGUGAGAUGUGUGAGCUGGGCCGCUAUGGGCCCAGCUGUGCUGGAGUCUGUGACUGUGCCCACGGGCUGUGCCAGGAGGGGCUUCAAGGAGACGGAAGCUGUGUCUGUAAUGUGGGCUGGCAGGGCCCCCGCUGUGACCAGAGUGAGUAGCCUCAAGGGGGAGAGGCAGGUGACUUCUGGGGAGGUAGUUCCCGGGUCCAAACGACCAGAACCAUCUUCCUACCCCCUUCCCUCCCAGAGAUCACAGGCCCUCAAUGCCCGAAGAAGUGCGACCCCAAUGCCAACUGCGUGCAGGCCUCGGCGGCGGCGGCCGCCCGUGUCUGUGCCGCGGGAUACUCGGGCGACGGCAUCUACUGUUCAGGUUGGGUCGCGUGGAAUGCUCCGGGCGCCCACCCUCCCAUUUUCCGUGAAAUUUCACCCUGAAACUUUCCCUGCAGG